UACGUAGGGUGCGAGCGUUAAUCGGAAUUACUGGGCGUAAAGCGUGCGCAGGCGGUUUUGUAAGCCAGAUGUGAAAUCCCCGGGCUUAACCUGGGAAUGGCAUUUGGGACUGCAAGGCUUGAGUGCGGCAGAGGAGACUGGAAUUCCUGGUGUAGCAGUGAAAUGCGUAGAUAUCAGGAGGAACACCGAUGGCGAAGGCAGGUCUCUGGGCUGACACUGACUCAUGCAACGAAAGCGUGGGGAGCGAAACAACGGAUUGAUGAUAC
This 266-nucleotide ribosomal RNA is filed under the name uncultured bacterium. Its description in RNAcentral is "partial 16S ribosomal RNA". It matches the Rfam family "Bacterial small subunit ribosomal RNA", at positions 524 to 785 of the family's 1533-position model. The record is from RNAcentral.